UGCCAGCCGCCGCGGUAACACGUACUGUGCGAACGUUAUUCGGAAUCACUGGGCUUAAAGGGUGCGUAGGCGGCCAAUUAAGUAGGGUGUGAAAGCUCUCGGCUCAACCGAGGAAUUGCGCUCUAAACUGGUUGGCUUGAGUGAGAUAGGGGUGUGCGGAACUUCCGGUGGAGCGGUGAAAUGUGUUGAUAUCGGAAGGAACACCAGUAGCGAAAGCGGCACGCUGGGUCUCAACUGACGCUGAGGCACGAAAGCUAGGGUAGCGAACGGGAUUAGAUA
RNAcentral lists this ribosomal RNA (279 nucleotides) under uncultured bacterium. Its description in RNAcentral is "partial 16S ribosomal RNA". It matches the Rfam family "Bacterial small subunit ribosomal RNA", at positions 506 to 784 of the family's 1533-position model. The record is from RNAcentral.